RNAcentral lists this unclassified non-coding RNA (387 nucleotides) under soil metagenome. RNAcentral describes it as "partial contains 5.8S ribosomal RNA, internal transcribed spacer 2, and large subunit ribosomal RNA". The stretch from base 1 to 120 matches the Rfam family "5.8S ribosomal RNA", at positions 35 to 154 of the family's 154-position model. The record is from RNAcentral.
GAUGAAGAACGUAGCGAAAUGCGAUAAGUAAUGUGAAUUGCAGAAUUCAGUGAAUCAUCGAAUCUUUGAACGCACCUUGCGCUCCUUGGUAUUCCGAGGAGCAUGCCUGUUUGAGUGUCAAGAAAUUCUCAACCUUUUCAGCUUUCUUUGUUGAUCAGGCUUGGAUGUGGGAGUAUGCGGGCUUCUCAGAAGUCGGCUCUCCUGAAAUGCAUUAGCGGGACCUUUGUUGCCUGGCUUUGGUGUGAUAAUUAUCUACGCCAUUGUAGUCAAGCAGCUUAAAAUGAGGUUUCAGCUUCUAACCGUCUCCCCUGAGACAACUUUUUGACAAUUUGACCUCAAAUCAGGUAGGACUACCCGCUGAACUUAAGCAUAUCAAUAAGCGGAGGA